CUGUGCAUACUGCAGCUGGGCUAAUGAGAGAAAUCAGAAAAGUAGCUUUGUGGAUUGGGAGCAUGGCCAAAUUGCAGGGAUCUCCUACAGUCGAUGAUUUCUCCCUCUUUUUUCAUUUUUUUAAUGUCACCAUACCAGAGCAGUGGCAUAGGCUGCCUUUCAUGUUACCUGAGACAUCAAAGGGAAGUACUGAGAACCUAACUUACUGUUUUCCACUGACACUCAUGCCUAAUGAGUACAACAUGCUGCAGAAACAGCAUCCCUGUGCACAAGUGUCACGCUAGCCUUUGUUGCAUUAGAGAUUCUAGAUUACAGCUUUCAAGCUCUUAGAAACUUUGAGCCUAAGUCUAUUCACAUCUAGCAACAUGGUGACAUGCGCACGCCUUGGACCAUGGACUGGUUCUGCUCCUGAGCUCACCAGGUGAUGGCAUCCAUUAGGACCCAUAACAGGAGGCUGUAGGUGGGGGCAGCCGUGCCUGGCAGUAUAUUCCUCCAUGCACCCAACUGCCUUGUUUCCCAUGGCGUGUUAGGGGAGAAGCUUCUGCCCGAACAGUCACACAACAUUCAAGUUGUUGCACACACACUACCUGAGACUUUAAUUGCUGGAACAGGAGUCCCUCUGCAGGAGGUGGCUCCAGUGAACUGACAGGCAAGCUGAUAGGAAAUGAUUUCCCCAUGGGACAGAGCCCCAGAGCCCAGAGUGGACUUUCCACACCAUUUCACAGCUAUCCAGGAUAAGAACAGGCAUCAAGCUACAGCAAGGUUCAACAGGAAGAAAGAGGUUCUCCUUCAAAUGUCUUCUUUGAGUUAAUUUCCAGGGAUGUGACAACACUAACAACUACAGCCUGUUCAAAAAGCAAAUAGGGCAAUACUGCAUUGCAAUGCCACCUCCUCCCUCCUUCCCUCACAGGCACCACCUCUGAUGAAAUACCUCAGCUCUGAUCUGGGGGAACAUACUGGAGAUGAAGCCACUAAAGCCACUACCCAGAAGAACACUUAAGCAUUUGUCAUUUACUGUUGCAGUUCCUGUCUUUUAAGUGUGCAUGUUCCAAAAUGGAGUCCACACAGCUGCAGAACUCAACAUCUGCAGCAGCAUUCACACCCAGCAUGCAGCUGUGCAGCCACCACAGUAG
Molecule: long non-coding RNA, 1133 nt
Organism: Neopsephotus bourkii (Bourke's parrot)
Lineage: Eukaryota; Metazoa; Chordata; Aves; Psittaciformes; Psittacidae
Exons: 3
Source: RefSeq, a predicted model, not a curated record